Long non-coding RNA from Gorilla gorilla gorilla (western lowland gorilla), 356 nucleotides. RefSeq lists it as uncharacterized. NCBI's taxonomy places the organism in Eukaryota, Metazoa, Chordata, Mammalia, Primates, Hominidae. The record is from RefSeq and is a predicted model, not a curated record. The transcript is spliced from 4 exons.
ACAAGGAGAGAAGGCUGUGUUAUGACAGGGGCAAAGAUUGAGAUGCUGCUUCUGUAAGAUAAGGGGUACCAGGGAUUUCCAGUAACCACCCAGAGUUAGGAAGAGGAAAAGUAAUGGGGGAAUGUGUUCACCUACCCACCUGUAACAACUAAAAAGAACCCAGACAAAAUAUAGUAAAUAAUGGCAUUCAAGACAUUGGACACCAGGCAACAAAGGACAGUGAUCCCUGAGGGAUGGGAAAAAAAGAGAAGGAUUUGCUGCAUUCAGAAUUUGCUACCUGGGCUUCUCAUCCAAUUUAAAGUUCUUCACAGCAAGUUUACAAGACAGGCAGAGCAGAAAUCAUCAUACUUACUUGA